RNAcentral lists this ribosomal RNA (451 nucleotides) under uncultured bacterium. RNAcentral describes it as "partial 16S ribosomal RNA". It matches the Rfam family "Bacterial small subunit ribosomal RNA", at positions 354 to 796 of the family's 1533-position model. The record is from RNAcentral.
GUGGGGAAUAUUGGACAAUGGGGGGAACCCUGAUCCAGCCAUGCCGCGUGUGUGAAGAAGGCCUUUUGGUUGUAAAGCACUUUAAGCGAGGAGGAGGCUACCGAGAUUAAUACUCUUGGAUAGUGGACGUUACUCGCAGAAUAAGCACCGGCUAACUCUGUGCCAGCAGCCGCGGUAAUCCAGAGGGUGCAAGCGUUAAUCGGAUUUACUGGGCGUAAAGCGCGCGUAGGUGGCCAAUUAAGUCAAAUGUGAAAUCCCCGAGCUUAACUUGGGAAUUGCAUUCGAUACUGGUUGGCUAGAGUAUGGGAGAGGAUGGUAGAAUUCCAGGUGUAGCGGUGAAAUGCGUAGAGAUCUGGAGGAAUACCGAUGGCGAAGGCAGCCAUCUGGCCUAAUACUGACACUGAGGUGCGAAAGCAUGGGGAGCAAACAGGAUUAGAAACCCCUGUAGUCC